Long non-coding RNA from Ictalurus punctatus (channel catfish), 535 nucleotides. Lineage: Eukaryota; Metazoa; Chordata; Actinopteri; Siluriformes; Ictaluridae. The record is from Ensembl.
GGAAAAGGCAUUGCAGACGCCUGUUAUUUCAAAGCUCUGUUUUAGUGGUCUGUUGCUACGACUGAGAAGCCCCGGGGAAGAAAGACUAAGUGGGUCUCCAAAAGAACCUUGAGUGAGUGAGAAGAGAGAAUUCCUCAACUUCUUAACAAGAUGACAAUAGGAAAGAGGUUGAGCAUGACAAGCAUGAGCAGACCAUUUAUAGGCUUCCCACGAUUUGACAACUUUGCUGUUGGUAGUCGGCAAGAAAUCAAAUGGGAAAUCUCCACUACUUCCAAAAGCAAAUGCCCUACCGCCCACGGUGAGGUGAACCCUCCUUAGACUCUAAAAAAAGAAAGACUGUUUUUUGAAAGACUGAGAGUGUGAAUUACCUCAGCAUGCCAUUGCUACUCACUCCCACUGGGCCCAUCAGCCCCAUCUGCUGUUUGGAUAACCUCUUGCCCUUUUCUACCCAAGAGUCUGUUCUGGCCACCAGAGCUCACCUAUGAUGUCUAACCAGGAUCAGGACAGUAUACUCUCUUCAGGUGCUGUUUUUCAG